CCUACGGGUGGCAGCAGUGGGGAAUAUUGCGCAAUGGGCGAAAGCCUGACGCAGCGACGCCGCGUGAGGGAUGAAGGUCUUCGGAUCGUAAACCUCUGUCAGCAGGGAAGUACGGUCACUGUGCUAAUCAGCAUUGAAUUGACGGUAUCUGCAAAGGAAGCACCGGCUAACUCCGUGCCAGCAGCCGCGGUAAUACGGAGGGUGCGUGCGUUAAUCGGAAUUACUGGGCGGAAAGCGCUCGUAGGCGGUAUGUCAAGUCAAGGGUGAAAUCCCCGCGCUCAACGUGGGAACUGCAUUUGAAACUGGCAAACUUGAGUGUAUGAGAGGAGAGUGGAAUUCGAGGUGUAGGAGUGAAAUCCGUAGAUAUCUGGAGGAACAUCAGUGGCGAAGGCGACUAUCUGGCACAUGACUGACGCUGAGGAGCGAAAGCGUGGGUAGCAAACAGGAUUAGAUACCCUAGUAGUC
This 465-nucleotide ribosomal RNA is filed under the name uncultured bacterium. RNAcentral's name for it is "partial 16S ribosomal RNA". It matches the Rfam family "Bacterial small subunit ribosomal RNA", at positions 338 to 795 of the family's 1533-position model. The record is from RNAcentral.